GGUCCCGUAGUUCAAUUGGAUAGAACGGUGGUUUCCUAAACCGCUAAUCCCAGUUCGAUUCUGGGCGGGACUACCC
The sequence is a transfer RNA, 76 nucleotides long. It matches the Rfam family "tRNA". From Rfam's summary of the family: Transfer RNA (tRNA) molecules are approximately 80 nucleotides in length.